ACGGGAGGCAGCAGUGGGGGAUAUUGCACAUUGGGGGAAACCCUGAUGCAGCGACGCCGCGUGAGUGAAGAAGUAUUUCGGUAUGUAAAGCUCUAUCAGCAGGAAAGAUAAUGACGGUACCUGACUAAGAAGCACCGGCUAAAUACGUGCCAGCAGCCGCGGUAAUACGUAUGGUGCAAGCGUUAUCCGGAUUUACUGGGUGUAAGGGGAGCGCAGACGGCAUGGCAAGCCAGAUGUGAAAGGCAGGGGCUCAACUCCUGGACUGCAUUUGGAACUGUCAAGCUAGAGUAUCGGAGAGGUAAGUGGAAUUCCUAGUGUAGCGGUGAAAUGCGUAGAUAUUAGGAGGAACACCAGUGGCGAAGGCGGCUUACUGGACGAUAACUGACGUUGAGGCUCGAAAGCGUGGGGAGCAAACAGGAUUAGAUACCCUGGUA
Molecule: ribosomal RNA, 434 nt
Filed under: uncultured Lachnospiraceae bacterium
Lineage: Bacteria; Bacillati; Bacillota; Clostridia; Lachnospirales; Lachnospiraceae
Description: partial 16S ribosomal RNA
Rfam family: Bacterial small subunit ribosomal RNA
Source: RNAcentral